GACGAAGGAUGCAAGCGUUAUCCGGAUUCAUUGGGUUUAAAGGGAGCGUAGGUGGACUGAUAAGUCAGUGGUGAAAUCUUUGGGCUUAACCCAAAAAUUGCCAUUGAUACUGUUGGUCUUGAGUAUAGUUGCCGUUGGCGGAAUAUGACAUGUAGUGGUGAAAUACAUAGAGAUGUCAUAGAACACCGAUUGCGAAGGCAGCUGACGAAACUAUAACUGACACUGAGGCUCGAAAGUGUGGGGAUCAAACAGG
This 253-nucleotide ribosomal RNA is filed under the name uncultured bacterium. RNAcentral's name for it is "partial 16S ribosomal RNA". It matches the Rfam family "Bacterial small subunit ribosomal RNA", at positions 524 to 776 of the family's 1533-position model. The record is from RNAcentral.